RNAcentral lists this unclassified non-coding RNA (334 nucleotides) under soil metagenome. RNAcentral describes it as "partial contains 5.8S ribosomal RNA, internal transcribed spacer 2, and large subunit ribosomal RNA". The stretch from base 1 to 120 matches the Rfam family "5.8S ribosomal RNA", at positions 35 to 154 of the family's 154-position model. The record is from RNAcentral.
GAUGAAGAACGUAGCGAAAUGCGAUAGGUAAUGUGAAUUGCAGAAUUCAGUGAAUCAUCGAAUCUUUGAACGCACAUUGCGCCCGCCAGUAUUCUGGCGGGCAUGCCUGUUCGAGCGUCAUUUCAACCAUCAAGCCCCAGGCUUGUGUUGGAGCCCUGCGGCUGCCGCAGCCUCCCAAAACCAGUGGCGGGCUCGCUAUCACACCGAGUGCAGUAGUUUACUCUUCGCUCAGGGCGUGUGGCGGGUGCUAGCCGUAAAACCCCCAACUUCUCAAGGUUGACCUCGGAUCAGGUAGGAAUACCCGCUGAACUUAAGCAUAUCAAUAAGCGGAGGA